RNAcentral lists this long non-coding RNA (1139 nucleotides) under Calidris pugnax (ruff). RNAcentral describes it as "lncRNA (ENSCPUG00000015420.1)". Lineage: Eukaryota; Metazoa; Chordata; Aves; Charadriiformes; Scolopacidae. The record is from RNAcentral.
GGUCGUUCACCUUCCUCGGGGGCUGCGCGCUCAGGAACCACAUGAUUUCCUGGGAGGUCCCACUCACUCUUGGCAAAAAAAACCAGAAACACAAACCAAAAACGAAACUGCUUGAUUUUUUGGGGGCUGAAGGGCGAGCUGCCUCCCAGCACCAUGGGGAUUCUCCUCAGGCAGGACAGCGGAGAAGGGAUGGAGGGCUACCACCCCCAGUGCCCCCACCCCGCCAAGAGAGCCUGGGUGACGUACGUGGCCGUGGUUCUUGGGGUGGCCGUGGUGGCACUGGUGGCAGCCCUUGUCACCGUCCUCUACCAGAGAGCCGAGGGCUCCGCCAUGGCGAGGAACAGCUCGGAAGUGCUGGUGCAGCUGGAGAAGGCACUGGAUGUCACCAACCAGUCCCUCGUCGAUGCCCGCGGGCGGUGGGAAGGGUGCAGGAAGCAGCUGGGUGCGCUGGAGGGAAAGGCCUUGGAACUGGAGUGGGCACUGGCCAAUGUCACCGAGCUGCAAGAGGAGAACAGGGCGCUCAAGGCGGAGGUGGCCCAGCAGCAGGAGCAACUGAGAGACCUGCAGAGCAAAUGGGAGAAGCUCCAGCUGCAGAACCAGAUCCUGGAGAACCAGCUCUGGGACAUGAGGAGCCAGCACUCGAAUGGGAACAGUCUCCAGGCCACGUCCCUCAGCCUCCUGGCUCUCCUCCUCCUCCUCCUCCCUGGGAUGCUCCUCCUGUGAGGGAGGGCAAGAACAUGGGCCCCACUGAUUCCUGACCCCCGAUGUGGGGUGAGGAGGGACCAUCCCCAUCCAGCCCGGUGGGGUCUGGGGGUGGCAGCGGGUUCAGUGCCACCCGUGGGAGCCCAGUGCCCGCUCAGCCCUGCCCUGUGACUGCCCACACUGUCCUGUACCCCCCCUGCACCUUCUCUCUGCUCACCAAACUGCCCCCCUUCACCCUGGGGACACCCCAGGGAUGUGAUUUCCCUCCAGCCACCAAGCACUGGCUCUUCCUAGGGUGAGGGAGGGGACAAGUGGACGGGCUGGAGGGGACAGAGACGUGUCAGGGCUGCUCUGAGUCGAGGGGACCACAAGCUCUACCCCAUUAGGUCAUUUUUUCAUUUUUACCCCAUUUCCAAUAAAACCUUUGUGAAACCCCA